UAAGAGGUCCCGCCUGCCCUGUGACUAUAAGUUUAACGGCCGCGGUAUUUUGACCGUGCAAAGGUAGCGCAAUCACUUGUCUCUUAAAUGGAGACCUGUAUGAAUGGCACGACGAGGGCUUAGCUGUCUCCUCAUUCAAGUCAAUGAAAUUGAUCUCCCCGUGCAGAAGCGGGGAUAAAACCAUAAGACGAGAAGACCCUAUGGAGCUUUAGACACCAGAGUAGAUCAUGUUAAACAACCCUUAAUUAAAGGACUAAACCAAAUGCCUACUACCCCCAUGUCUUUGGUUGGGGCGACCGCGGGGAAACACAAAACCCCCGUGUGGAACGGGAACACCCCCUCCUACAGCUAAGAGUCUCCACUCUAACGCACAGAAUAUCUGACCAAUAUGAUCCGGCAACGCCGAUCAACGAACCGAGUUACCCUAGGGAUAACAGCGCAAUCCCCUUUUAGAGCCCAUAUCGACAAGGGGGUUUACGACCUCGAUGUUGGAUCAGGACAUCCUAAUGGUGCAGCCGCUAUUAAGGGUUCGUUUGUUCAACG
Molecule: ribosomal RNA, 543 nt
Filed under: Triacanthodes anomalus (red spikefish)
Lineage: Eukaryota; Metazoa; Chordata; Actinopteri; Tetraodontiformes; Triacanthodidae
Description: partial 16S large subunit ribosomal RNA
Rfam family: Bacterial large subunit ribosomal RNA
Source: RNAcentral